This 441-nucleotide ribosomal RNA is filed under the name uncultured bacterium. RNAcentral describes it as "bacterial SSU rRNA". It matches the Rfam family "Bacterial small subunit ribosomal RNA", at positions 338 to 795 of the family's 1533-position model. The record is from RNAcentral.
CCUACGGGUGGCUGCAGUGAGGAAUUUUCCGCAAUGGACGCAAGUCUGACGGAGCAACGCCGCGUGCAGGAGGACGCUUUUCGGAGUGUAAACUGCUUUUCUGUGGGACGAGAGAGGACGGUACCACAGGAAGAAGCCCCGGCUAACUACGUGCCAGCAGCCGCGGUAAUACGUAGGGGGCGAGCGUUGUCCGGAGUUACUGGGCGUAAAGGGCAUGCAGGCGGUCGGACGCGUUUCCAGUGACAGCGGGUGGCUUACCUGCCCGAGUAUUGGAAAGACGGUUUGACUUGAGGACUCGAGAGGGACACGGAAUUCCGGGUGGAGUGGUGAAAUGCGUAGAGAUCCGGAGGAACAUCGAAGGCGAAGGCAGUGUCCUGGCGAGUAACUGACGCUGAGGUGCGAAAGCUAGGGGAGCGAACGGGAUUAGAUACCCCAGUAGUC